Molecule: ribosomal RNA, 509 nt
Filed under: uncultured Glomeromycotina
Lineage: Eukaryota; Fungi; Glomeromycota
Description: partial small subunit ribosomal RNA
Rfam family: Eukaryotic small subunit ribosomal RNA
Source: RNAcentral
CCAAUAGCGUAUAUUAAGGUUGCUGCGGUUAAAAAGCUCGUAGUUGAAUUUCGGGAUUGAUGCAUCGGUCGUGCCUUAAGGGGUAUGAACUGGUGUGGUCAAUUUCUUACCUUCUGGUGAAUUGUGAUGUCCUCCUUAAUUGGGUGUUUCAAUGAACUAGGACUUUUUACUUUGAAAAAAUUAGAGUGUUUAAAGCAGGCAUUAUUUGCUUGAAUACAUUAGCAUGGAAUAAUAAAAUAGGACAAUGAUUCUAUUUUGUUGGUUUCUAGGAUCACUGUAAUGAUUAAUAGGGAUAGUUGGGGGCAUUAGUAUUCAAUUGUCAGAGGUGAAAUUCUUGGAUUAAUUGAAGACUAACUACUGCGAAAGCAUUUGCCAAGGAUAUUUUCAUUAAUCAAGAACGAAAGUUAGGGGAUCGAAGACGAUUAAGUACGUCGUAGUCUUAACCAUAAACUAUGCCGACUAGGAAUCAGACAACGUUAAAUUUUUAAUGACUUGUUUGGCACCUUACG